Molecule: ribosomal RNA, 406 nt
Filed under: uncultured bacterium
Lineage: Bacteria
Description: partial 16S ribosomal RNA
Rfam family: Bacterial small subunit ribosomal RNA
Source: RNAcentral
AUUGAACGCUGGCGGCAGGCCUAACACAUGCAAGUCGAACGAGUGGCGGACGGGUGAGUAAUGUAUGGGAAACUGCCUGAUGGAGGGGGAUAACUACUGGAAACGGUAGCUAAUACCGCAUACCAUCGGAUGUGCCCAUAUGGGAUUAGCUAGUAGGUGGGGUAAAGGCUCACCUAGGCGACGAUCCCUAGCUGGUCUGAGAGGAUGACCAGCCACACUGGAACUGGGACACGGUCCAGACUCCUACGGGAGGCAGCAGUGGGGAAUAUUGGACAAUGGGGGCAAGCCUGAUGCAGCCAUGCCGCGUGUAUGAAGAAGGCCUUCGGGUUGUAAAGUACUUUCAGCGGGGAGGCGGUACCCGCAGAAUAAGCACCGGCUAACUACGUGCCAGCAGCCGCGGUAAUUC